CUUGCCUGGUUCAGAGAACUUGUGCCUCUUGGAAUUCCAAGGAAGUUAGCAGAUUCUUGAUGAUUUUUCAGUCAGGUAGGUGCUGCAUCUAUUCAAGAAGCAUAUAAUAAGUCGUGAUUUGAUUUGGCCCUACUAAAACUUAUAAGCUGGUCCUCCAGGCACUUCUUUCAGAAUUUGGAGACUUCUUUGAGAAUGAUGCGUUGUCUUUUGGGGAGGUGAAACAACUCCAUAGUGUUCUGAAUGAUACUUGGCUUUGCUCAGAGAUACCUAGACUGUGUGGGUGGAGGGUGGUGAAUGUACCUAAACGCCUAUAAUGGUUUUUCUCAGCUAUAUAAUAUGAAUGUACCUAAACGUAAAUAAAGGAAACAUGACAAUAUUGUCUCUCCUAAUACAAGGUCUUGCUUGCAUGCAUGCUGGUCAUAGUGGAGCUCAUGGGAAUACACCAACCAUCACAGCCUAUUGCCGCUCCUUCAACUACAUAUCAGAUCUUUACCCACACCCACUCAUCAGUUUUCAACAUCUGCGUAUGAGAGAGAGAAUUAUGUUUUUCCAUUGACAAUUUAGAUGAAAUUAAUAAGAAAAAAAAAAGGGUUUCCACAGUCUCUUUACCUCAUCAGGUUGUUGAACAGAGGUGUGCUCGCCACGCUUCAGUAUAGCAAGCUUUUCGUUGUACAAGAGUAAAACGAUUGAGUCCGGUAAUACUAGUUCUAUAGUUAAUAUCUGGCUGAUCAGGUAUGACAAGCUUGUCAAAAACCACCUAAUUAGAUAGUUGAUGAAUCGAGGAAAAAAAAUGAUGAUUCGGAAGAGAAAACCUACCUUGAGCUUGCUUGCGGUCAACUCUAACAGCAGCUUGGGUGUUAUUUUCACAGAGAACCUUCUCGCAACAAAUGGCAAUUCCUCGGUUACAGGCCCAUUGGCUUCCCUUCUGACUCCUAUAGAAUUAGAGCUAUUGGGUCUCUUCUCUUAAACAGAGAGAAGAAACAGCCGCGAGAUGACUUGGCGGGAAGCGUUCUCCGCCGCUGGCAUGGCGAAACAACAGGGAGAGAGAGUUGGUGCUGUGCUGGCAUGGAAUGGCACUUGUUGCCACGUCAGCUUGGCGCUUUUAGAUAGUCAUCGGUCUUUCACCUUUUGACUUUUCCCUUUGAUUUCAAAUAAAGAAAAUAUUCUUCUCAAUUGUUGGAAUACUCUAGGGUACCUUUAGGACAAGAGCCAAUCUCUUUGUAUUCCCUUUUGUUCUGUCAGCAGAAAAGUUUUAUUUUCUAGUUGCUUUUGG
RNAcentral lists this long non-coding RNA (1273 nucleotides) under Brassica rapa (field mustard). RNAcentral describes it as "long non-coding RNA (BRAP_LNC002367)". The record is from RNAcentral. Lineage: Eukaryota; Viridiplantae; Streptophyta; Magnoliopsida; Brassicales; Brassicaceae.